UUUUCUGGUUGAUCCUGCCAGAGGUCACUGCUAUCGGGGUUCGAUUAAGCCAUGCGAGUCGAGAGGGUUCGGGCCCUCGGCGUACUGCUCAGUAACACGUGGAUAACCUGCCCUAGGGAAGGGGAUAACCCCGGGAAACUGGGGAUAAUACCCUAUAGGUUACAGAUGCUGGAAUGCUCUGUAACCCAAAGUUCCGGCGCCCUAGGAUGGAUCUGCGGCCGAUUAGGUUGUUGUUGGGGUAAUGGCCCAACAAGCCAGUAAUCGGUACGGGUUGUGGGAGCAAGAGCCCGGAGUUGGAUUCUGAGACACGAAUCCAGGCCCUACGGGGCGCAGCAGGCGCGAAAACUUUACAAUGCGGGCAACCGUGAUAAGGGAACCUCGAGUGCCUGUAAAUGCAGGCUGUUUAGGUGUUUAAAACGCACCUGGAGAAAGGGCCGGGCAAGACCGGUGCCAGCCGCCGCGGUAAUACCGGCGGCUCGAGUGGUGGCCACUUUUAUUGGGCUUAAAGCGUUCGUAGCUGGGUUGUUAAGUCUCUUGGGAAAUCUGGCGGCUUAACCGUCAGGCGUCUAAGGGAUACUGGCAAUCUUGGAACCGGGAGAGGUGAGGGGUACUUCGGGGGUAGGAGUGAAAUCCUGUAAUCCUCGAGGGACCACCUGUGGCGAAGGCGCCUCACCAGAACGGCUUCGACAGUGAGGGACGAAAGCUGGGGGAGCAAACCGGAUUAGAUACCCGGGUAGUCCCAGCCGUAAACUAUGCGCGUUAGGUGUAUCGGUGACCACGAGUUACCGAGGUGCCGAAGGGAAACCGUGAAACGUGCCGCCUGGGAAGUACGGUCGCAAGGCUGAAACUUAAAGGAAUUGGCGGGA
This 866-nucleotide ribosomal RNA is filed under the name uncultured archaeon. RNAcentral's name for it is "bacterial SSU rRNA". It matches the Rfam family "Archaeal small subunit ribosomal RNA", at positions 1 to 873 of the family's 1478-position model. The record is from RNAcentral.